UGGGGAAUUUUGGACAAUGGGCGAAAGCCUGAUCCAGCAAUGCCGCGUGUGUGAAGAAGGCCUUCGGGUUGUAAAGCACUUUGUCCGGAAAGAAAUCCUUGGCUCUAAUACAGUCGGGGGAUGACGGUACCGGAAGAAUAAGCACCGGCUAACUACGUGCCAGCAGCCGCGGUAAUACGUAGGGUGCAAGCGUUAAUCGGAAUUACUGGGCGUAAAGCGUGCGCAGGCGGUUUGCUAAGACCGAUGUGAAAUCCCCGGGCUCAACCUGGGAACUGCAUUGGUGACUGGCAGGCUAGAGUAUGGCAGAGGGGGGUAGAAUUCCACGUGUAGCAGUGAAACGCGUAGAGAUGUGGAGGAAUACCGAUGGCGAAGGCAGCCCCCCUGGGCCAAUACUGACGCUCAUGCACGAAAGCGUGGGGAGCAAACAGGAUUAGAUACCCUGGUAGUCCACGCCCUAAACGAUGUCAACUAGUUGUUGGGGAUUCAUUUCCUUAGUAACGUAGCUAACGCGUGAAGUUGACCGCCUGGGGAGUACGGUCGCAAGAUUAAAACUCAAAUGAAUUGACGGGGUCAUAGCUGUUUCCU
Molecule: ribosomal RNA, 585 nt
Filed under: uncultured bacterium
Lineage: Bacteria
Description: partial 16S ribosomal RNA
Rfam family: Bacterial small subunit ribosomal RNA
Source: RNAcentral